Molecule: ribosomal RNA, 252 nt
Filed under: uncultured bacterium
Lineage: Bacteria
Description: partial 16S ribosomal RNA
Rfam family: Bacterial small subunit ribosomal RNA
Source: RNAcentral
UACAGAGGGUGCAAGCGUUGUUCGGAAUUAUUGGCGUAAAGCGCGUGUAGGCGGCUUUGCAAGUCGGGUGUGAAAGCCCUCAGCUCAACUGAGGAAGUGCGCCCGAAACUGCAGAGCUUGAGUGCCGGAGAGGGUGGCGGAAUUCCCCAAGUAGAGGUGAAAUUCGUAGAUAUGGGGAGGAACACCGGUGGCGAAGGCGGCCACCUGGACGGUAACUGACGCUGAGACGCGAAAGCGUGGGGAGCAAACAGG